Molecule: long non-coding RNA, 2541 nt
Organism: Ictalurus punctatus (channel catfish)
Lineage: Eukaryota; Metazoa; Chordata; Actinopteri; Siluriformes; Ictaluridae
Source: Ensembl
UAUCCAUCUUCAAUGCGAAACACUAGCUAGCUAGUCAAAAUGCCCUAAAAGAUUUCUGACCGGAUUUCGUUGAUAAAAUGUUCAUAAUCCUCACUGCUACUGAGAGCAAGCUAUCUAACAUGACCUAACCUGACAGGAAGACUAGCCAGCUAGUUUUUGUGACCUAACCUUACAGGAUAUUUAAGCCAAUAUUCAAAAAUAUUCAAAAUCUUCAUUGCUAACACUAGCCAGCUAGCUAAUAUGAGCAAACCUGACAGGAUUUUUUUUUUUUUUUUUUUUUUUAUACAUCAUAUUCAAAAAUACUCAAAAUCUUCAUUGCUAACACUAGCCAGCUAGCUUAUAUGACCUAACCUGACAGGAUAUUUAAGACAAUAUUUAAAAUAUUUGCAGUUAAAGCUACCAAGCUAGCUAACCUGACAGGAUUUUUAGAUCAUGUUCAUGAAUACUUGUAAACUUCACUGCUAAUAUUACCCAGAUAGCUUAUAUGAGCUACCCUCUGAAGUUGUUUUGUUAAUGUUUAAGAACUGUAUUACCCGCUAAUAUUAGGUAGCUGGCUAAUAGGAUUUAACAUGACAGGUCAUAUUAAUGAAUACCCAUAUUCGACACUAACUAGCUGGCUAACAUGAGUUAAAGGAUUGGUUGAAAGAUGUGUCUUUGAGGUCAGAGCUUCCCUCUAGUUCUCCUUGCUCUCCUCUUUCCUCUUUCUCUCCAUCUGUCUCUGGUGGUGUGGUGUUGUGAAUUUAAGCCCCACCAAACUGAUCACUCUUUCUGAGCUAGGCUUAAGGAGAACAGCAGCUCGAUGUGAUUGGGCUAAUAGCUUACGCUCGUGAAACGCGGUGACAGAGACUGAGAGGAUUAUUGCUCAAUCAAUAUCUGUUUAUUGGAAGAAAGGAGGAGCUAUAAAGUACAUAGGGAAGAGGGAGCGUGACAUUCCUGUGUUGUUUUAUCGUCUUGGACGAUGUAGUGCUUUAGGUCUGUUUAUGUGGAUUUAUGGGCAACCAGGAAGUGCUACUGUCAGCAAUGUGGUGCAAGCAGACUGGAAAUAGAAAUAACGUGUUAAAAGUAGUUAUAUCCCACACAUUGAAGUGUACACAGGUAUCCAGUGUGCAAAGAGAAGAGAGACAGGUAGAUAAUAAAAAGGCGAUUCUUUGCCCCUACGCCAAUCCCCAAAGCUUCAUACGGAUAGCCUGAAAGCAGUCGGUUCCUCUGUAAUUCGAGAAUUUGGUAAUAUUGGUAGGGUUCAGGGAUUUUAAUUGAAUCGCUGUUAUGCCACAGCUAAUCUGUUUCUCUGUGUGUGUUUGAUCUGGCCUGAAAGGGGAGAGAUACAGAGAGACAGAUGAGUAGAUCAUGGCUGAUGGAUGCCACUCAUGAGGAUACGAGAGAGAGAACGAUGAGUUGCGAUGCUACGAGUCUCCAUAUGGAGAGGAUGGUCUGUUGGCCGGCCGGCGACGGCCAUAUGGAGGGCAGGUUGGCACUUUGGCAGCAGCUACAGCAUGCACCUGCAGUAGAAGCAAGCUCGCGCCAGGAGUGGCCCCGCCCCUCUGCCAGACUUCAUUUUUAACUCCACUUUUUUUCCCAUCACCCCCCUGCGUUCUUUAUUGACCCACCAGCAUUGCUCACAGACAGUGGGGGGGAACGCAAACACAGCAAGGAGCCUCUCUCCUUCUUUCUUUUCCCUCUUUUUCUCCCCCCUUCCUCUUUCUGGGUCUCACACUCCUUCUUAACCCCUCAGCAUUCUCCUAUUUUUCUUCAGAUCAAGGUUGGCCUUGCUGCACUGUUGGUGUUACAAAGCGGGUGACUCAGUUACUGAGUUAGCGUGAGGAGACAAACAAUUUCUCUUUUUUUCCACCCUCAUCCUUUUAUUUGCUCUUACUAUUUUUUUCUAACUUUCACAAUUCUCCUGACAUCAUCACAGGUUAAUUUCAGGGAGGAUGAUUCACAAUAAUGACAUUUGAAGGGUUAUGUUUGCAAUCUUGUGGCUAGCUAGCUAGCCUAAGUAAUUAGGAAGCUUGAGGCAGUGUCAUCAGUAAAGAAAUGGUAUAGCCUGUUGUAGGAGUAGAUUAAAAUGGUCAUUUUCAUGUGCACUUUCAGACGUGAAUAGAAAAAAACAAAAACAUUUAGCGUUCAUUAUAACAAAUAUGUAGUAUGACUUAACCUGAAGUCAGUAUUUUCUGAGGGGAUUGAAAUCUUAAUUAAAAGAGUCAGAGAGCUCCCUGAUCAUUUUUCUCAUCAUCAUAAAAACUCACAAUCUUCACUGUUAACACUAGCCAGCUAGCUAAUAUGAGCUAACCUGACAGGAUUUUUUUUACAUCAUAUUCAUGAAAACUCAAAAUCUGUAGUACUAAACACUAGCCAGCUAGCUAAUAUGAGCUAACCUGACAGGAUUUUUUAAGUCAUAUUCAUGAAUACGCAAUUUUUUUAGUGCUAAACACUAGCCAGCUAGCUAAUAUGAGCUAACCUGACAGGAUUUUUUAAGUCAUAUUCAUAAAUACUCAAAUGUGUUAGUGCUAAACACUAGCCAGCUAGCUAAUAUGAGCUAAC